CAGAUUGAGGUCCCCCGCAGUGAGAGAGGGAGUGGGGCUGAGGCAGGGGCAGGCACUGCCCAGCUGAAGUGGGGCAGGACGUGAGACGGAGCCGCAGCUCAUCCGAGGGUAGCAGGGAGGGAAGGGGUGGCUCCCGCUCCUGCACGCGUCCCCAGGGCGGGCUUGUGUCCCCCGGAUCUGUGUGCGGGGUGAGGGCAGGCUGCCGCCGGGGGCUCGGCUGGGCUGGGGCUGCGCUCAGGCCAGGUGAGAAGGACAGUGGCGGCAGCAGCAGCAGUGAAAGGGGUAGCUACAGGUGGGGGAGCUACAGCCACCCCAUAAUUUGCCAUAGCCCCCCCUCCCAGCACUGCCGCCUGCCAUGCCCAAACACAGCCACACUGGGAAGAGCUUGGUGCAGCUUCCAGCCCCCAGUGGCAGUGGCAGCAUCAGCCCAAGGAUGCAGCUAAUGAGGGGUUUGGGCUGGUGAGACAAUGCACUGAGUUAUUAGCUCUUUUGAGGGACUCUGGCUGUUCUCAGUGCAGUUCUGACAAGUCUGGAGUAUAUGGUUAUGCAAAUUAAUAUUUUAAUCAAUCUUUUGAAGUGUCCAAGGAGCUGCUUCAAAAUUAUGGAUAUUUUCUGAUGUGAAAAAUAUCUGUUAAACUAUUUAACUUUUUAAUUGUGAAUUGAAGGUUGUGGUUACUAUAUAUGUCCAUUCUGAUCUUUAAAAAAAAUUAGAAACACAAAGUCUGUGAGAGACUUAUUAUGCCUGCUGGACUACCUGGGACUAUGGGGGGCAAUUAAGGAAGAGAGAGAAUUAAAAAGAAAUAAAACAACUUCUGCUCAUCAGUUCUCAUCCCAAAGGAUGUCGAAGUUUUUGUUUCUCCUUUUAGAUAAUACGGAGGAGGUAAGUUUGGAGAUUUUGGUGCCAGGAGAUCAAGUGCUAGAAUAAAGUGGUAUAUUAAAGACCGUUAAAUCACUAGUACCACUAGUACCACAUAGCAUUCAUUCAGGAGCUGUAAAGAAUGAGAUGACUGAGCUUGUCUUGCAUUUAAAAGCUUGUCUAACUUGAUCUUAACUACAUAGUGGAUCCAGUAAAAAAUAUCACCCUAAGAAACUCUUGCCUCUCUCCUAAGAAAAAUACAGUCUCAUUAAAAUCACCUAUUAUAACAGAGGGUUGUAAACUAUACCUUACUUUUAAAACAGGGCUGAAUGGUGGUCCUGGCUGGCCCCACACACAGAAUACGCGGCAGCCUACAUCAAUGACAUCAUAUACUCGCCAACCUGGACGCACCACAAGCAAGCCCUCCGGGCCGUAUUGUCGGAAUUAAGGCGGGCCGGACUUACAGCAAACCCACGGAAAUGCGCCUUAGCAAAAAGAGAGACCAAAUACCUGGGAUUCCUGGUGGGUAGAGGCACUAUCAGACCCCUGGCCGAUAAAGUCGAAACAGUGCGAAAUUUCCCAGCCCCUCAAAAUUGCCGUCAGCUCUGAUCAUUCCUGGGGCUGACCAACUAUUACCGGAGGUUCGUGCCCCACUUCUCAGAACUGACGGCUCCCUUGACAGAAGCAUUAAAGGGGAGGAAAAAUGGGACAGUAAGGUGGACAGAGCACAUGAAGCAAUGCUUCAGGAAAUUAAAACAGGCCCUCUGCGAGGAUGUGAUAAUGCAUACUCCUAACUUUGGGAAAACUUUCGUUUUGCAGACGGACGCCUCCGAAACAGCAGUGGGAGCCGUCCUCACGCAGGAGGAAAAAGGAAUAGAAAGACCGAUAGCAUACGCCAGCCGCAAGUUGACACCGGCAGAAAAAAGAGCCCUUGCUUUCUGUAAGUGCCUUCGUUGCAUCCCAAGAAGGAAAGCUGCUGCGUCAUUGAACCAGGUAGUCUCCAGCGUGCCACCCUGCCCAGAUUUCUUCCAAGGAAGGAAUAGUGGAUGUGAUCUCUGCAAAAAGAAAGCUUGUCUGGUAAAGAGCACUUUUCCUCUUUCAGUAGCUUUUGACAUUAAAGCAAAGAACUCUCAAUACCAUAUUUUAUGUACUUUUGAAAAAUGGGCUGUUUACUUCGUUCUGUCUGUGCGGGAUAUGCAGAUUGAGGACUGUACUGUGUUAUACACAAACAUCUGCAACCCUGGGUAGAGUAUGUAAUGAUGUAAACGUUACAGUCCACGUGCUUGCACAGAGCAUUGCAUAGAAACUAGAAGAGUUUGUGCCAGAGCUAGGGGCACAGGAGUGGCUUUUUAAGAACUGUCCUUAUGUCUGUUUCUUUUAGUUUGUAGAGGUUAAAACUUUCUGAAACAUUAUGCAAAGCUGAGGUAUUGCACCCCUGCUAAUACAGUAUGUAAAUAUUCUCAUUAAAUUUGGGGGGCAUAUUUCACCAUUUUGACAUAUAGCAGUGCUAUAGUAGGGGCAUCACAAAGAGCAAUCUAUACCUGCAGCAAUGAUGAAGCAGUUAUAUUUCAGACAUAACAUCAUUCUUUGUAAAAAUGGUCCUCACUCUCUCUAGGCUAAAACAUCACGGCCACCUGUGAAGUCGGUUAUGCUACAGUCAAAAAUGCAGUUGAAAGGGAUUUCUUCUUUCCUUUUAUUUUUGUUAACUUACGGAGGAGGAAAUAAUUUCAGUUCGCUUUAGGAAUCGGUCUUUCCUUUGCACCUGUUUUUCCUAAGUUAGUCCUUGGAACAAUACCGGCUCAAUUAUAGUGAAGUAAUAUCAUGCAUUUUGAGCUUGGGGAAUCCACAGACCGUGUAAUUCUCUGGAUUUCCUCCCCCUUCCUUGCAUCCCACUUUUUGACAGUGUCUUUCUGCUGGAGCUAUGCUGGAAAACCUUGCAAGCUUGCGUGUGCGUGUGUGUGCGCAUGUAUGUGUGUGUCCACACAUGCUGCAUGGAAAAUCCUACACUUUGUUUAGUCUGCAGAACCUCUUCUGUUAGCUGAUGCUCCAGGCUCCGCAAAGGUGCAGUGAGAGAGGAGCACUAGUAAGUACCUAAGGCAGAAAGCAAACAAGGGCUUUAUCACUGGUCUUUAACUCCUAUCAAAAGGGGAGUGAGGGAGAAGUCAUUUAAACAUGAGGCUUGAAUGAAAAUUAGCAUGGAUUAGUCACAGUUGUCCCAGGAGUCCUGUUAUCUCAGGUCACAGGUACUUAUGGUAGGGAGUGGGGUACUUUACCUCUAGGAUCCCCAAAUGAAAGACUCUUGAGGGAGCCAAGAGGGGGAGGAAGAGUCCUGGGUCUGUUUUUAGCCAAAGGGAAUUACCCUUGAGGCAUGGCAGGAGUAGUGUGUGUCUCCCUGUCUUUUCCCAGUGGAUGAGCUCCUGGGCAGUUCAUGCAUGGAGGAAGGAUGACUCUCUAGCCUGUUCCCCACAGGUAAACUGCAACAAAUUGAACUGAUUUGGAGAAACAAGUGGGUUAUGUCUGAGCAGCUUCCUUGUUUGGUAGUCAGUUGGCUGAAGAGUGGUUGAUGCUGAUGUUACUUAAUACUAAAUUUACCCUUCUGUGGCCCCUGGCAGAGAGAUCGGGGCAUUCAUCCUCCACUUUGCACAGGCUUGAGGGAACAACCUGGCUCCCAUCUUAGUUUUGAAGAACUUCAUUGCUGAAAAAUCAAAUGUGCACAUGUUCCCUAAGGAACGUAUCCAUUCAAAGGCAUGAAAUAUAAACGUAUAUUGUUACGUGCAAAUGCUUUGCACAAGUACAUUUGCUGGAUGCUUUUGGUAUGUUCUUCAAGCAAGUAGUGUCGUUAGCUGUUAAAUUCUUGACUCCUCUGUUAGGCUUGGGACAGAAAUUACACACAAGCUGGUCUAAGAGAUUGGAAACAGGAUCUGGAACACAACAGAAGGAUGGUGCACGUUGAUCCUGAUGGUAAAACAAGCGUACCCGUUAAGAUGACUGCGGGGAAAGUAUCCUGUUUUCAUCUACGCGGCCUGGUGAGUUCCACGGUUUACAUUUGAAAAGUACCUCUUACAGCACAUGUCCUUAGAGCUGAUUUUUUCUAUUAUAUGAUAAGCUUCUCAUGGCUUUUCCCUCCCCCGAUACGUGUGAAGUGGGUCUAGACUUUUGGGGAGAUCACAUGUUUUUCUGUUGGCAAACCACAGGGCGGGUCAGCACUGCUAUUUAGGACACCGUAACGUGCGACUUCUCAGAGCGUGUGACAAAGUGUUCCCGUUGACAUUACACGGUAUUUAGUAUUCCCAGCCCCACAACCAUCGCUAGUUGUGCCAUUGCAUUGCUGCUGCGGCUGUUGCAUUUGUUAGCAGCAGCCCCUGAACUGACAAGCUCCACACGUCUUCAAGGCUCCCAGGAGGCAGUUUCCGGACUGGCAUUAUCACCGACCGACCACGCUGGGCAUGGCUUACGGCGCUAGCAGUGCCGCGGUGCUUGCAGCGGGCAUGCUGACAGCCUCUUAUCCCACGGAGGGCUCCUGACGGUCGGUCCGUUCCCGCUGGGGAUUUAACGAGCCCUUUGUUGGCAGCGCCUUCCAAGACGGGCAGUUUUCCUGUGCGGGGGCAGCCUCCCGCAUCCGUCCCGCGUCUCCCUGGACAGAGCAGGGCCGGGCAGAAGCCACGCGCUGUGGUCCUGAGGAGAGCAGUGCCGGGGCAGGGUUCAAGUCAGGAUGUUGUCAUCACGCUGGGGCGUUUCUCCGCCUUCCUGCCGAGAGCAUCUCGUCUCCGCUUCCUGUGCUCCAACAGCCAGCGCGGAGGCGAGAGAGGCAGGGAGGCGGUGAGGGGAUGGGAACAUGAGCAAGGCAGAUGCCAGUGCUGUGGGCCCCACGGGGGGGGGGUGGGCGGCGUUGCCGCAGGGAUUUUUCCCUGGGGCCGGAGGCUGCUUGUGACAGUGGAGGGAGCGGGGCUCUCAUCUGACGGUCGGGUGCGAGCACGCUGGAACGAUUCAAACGAGGCAAAGCACAGGCUCUGCGCCCCAAACUGGAAAGGUGUCGCUGCAUUCGAGUUGUUCUCGGUUCGUUCCUGCGCAGCGUUGAACCGUGUUCACGCUCGGUGACAAAGCUCGUUCACCCUGCGUGAUGAAGUACGUUUACACACAACAGUGAAGCACGUGGACACACAACGAAGUGUGUGCACACAAACAGCGAAGCCUGUUCACGCGCAGCAGCGAGCGGUCUAACUGUUGUUAUGCGUGAGCUCGCUGAGAGCAACCGAGAUGAAGCAGAGGAGAGGCCCCACACGCCAAACUGGAAAGGUUUUGCUCUGGUUCAAUCCUCAGCUCGUUCACAGGCAGCAGUUAAAGUGUGUUCACACUCAAUGAUGAACACUGAACUCUGACUCAAGGACAGAAGCCCAGGGGCGUGGAGGUCUGAGUGAGUACCCCGUCCCAGGGACCCCGUGGCCAAGGCCAACACUGUAUGGUGUCAGAAGUGACCUGUCAGAGUAGGCAGACCAAAGGCUCUCUGCAGAAGCAAGCUUGCAUACAGUUGAGCAGAAGCAAAGCUGCCAUAGCACUUUGCAAAAGCAAAGCAAACCACCGGUGCAGUUUGCUCCACAGGAGGGCCAUCAAGCUGCAAAAGGGCAAAGUUUGCAAACGAUGCGGAAGCACACGCAAGCCUAGAUCCUGCCCAGCUUUUGGAGAAACCUGUUACAAAUGCUCUGGAGCGAACCACUUUGCAGAAAUGUGCAAAUCAAAGGGAGAGGCUCCAAAAUCCGCAAAAGGAGUCAGUACCCUCUACAUGGGCGCAGUGUCUGCCAAGCAGCACUCACCGACCGUUGAUAAGCAGAGUGCCUGCGAUAGCGCAGGUACAGCACAGGAGUUUUGAUACGUUACAGUCUGCCUGGCCACUGACUCCCCAGCCCAGCCCAGCCCAGCCCAGCCCCUGGCUUCUUGACUUUUCAUCCCAUCCAGGAAGAGCACACACCAAGUGCUGAAACCUCCCUAGCCUGACGAAGGGUUUUUGAACCCGAAAGCUUGCUUAAUAACUAUUCUCCAACUAUUUGGGUUGGUCUAAUACAAGAUAUCAAAUUCACCCAAGGAACCUUGUCUGCCUAUGUCCUUAGCCCAACACGGCUACAACCUACACCCCUGGUAUAGCACAGUGAUGACCGCUGGCUUGCCAGCUUAUUUGAAGUUAGAUACUGGAGCGGAGGCAAACGCUAUUCCGGUAGCUGUAGCAAAGGCUUUGCAGGGAAAACUGCAAGGCUCAAACUCAUGUUACAUUAGUCACAUUUGGCGGUGCACCCAUGAAACCAAAAGGUGCAGGCAUUGCAGGCUGCAAAUCUGGUGCUAAUGAAUCUGAUGUACCUUUCUACCUAACCGACGAUAGCGACCCAUCAGUACCUGGUAGGGUGGCUUGCACCACGUUAGACCUCAUCAGACGAGUCCACGGAAUGGCCCCGGCAAUACCCGCAACCAAGGCGGACCUUCUCAAACUAUGUCCGGACGUUUUAAAAGGGGUGGGCCAAUUUCCCGGUACCUACCAUAUCUGUGUCGACCCGGCAGUACCACCAGCGGUGCACGGGUGUAGAAAAAUUCCCUGUGCAACCCUAGGCACGUAGAAGACUGCCCUCGAAACGCUGGAAGCUGUGAGAGUCCUUACGAAGCAAAAUCUUAAAAUCUUGAGGACCUGGACUUCUUCAGCUGUGACAUCACAAACCUGAAGGAUUACAGGGAAAGGAUUUUUGAGCUGCUUCAGGAGAUCACCUACCUGGAUUGAUUUGAUCAGGAAGAAGGGGAUGAGGAGGAUGAAGCAGAUGAAGAUGAAGCUGGUCCACCAGGAGAGUACAAACAAGAUGAAGAUGGUGGAGGUUCAGAUUUGGGGGAGGGGGAAAAGGAGGAAGAAGCUGGCCUUUCGUACCUGAUGAUGGACAAGAUCCAGGUAGGACUUACCCUAUUCUACUGUAAGGCUCAGGAUUUUCUUGAUACUAUCUAGCUAUAAACGUGUAAUAUUUUAAACGUGUAUAAGCAUAAUCAUGUAAAUCCAGUAUCAUAUGUGAGCGAUAGAGUACUUUAGAGAGAGACCUUUUACUAUCAAAGAAGUGCGUUACAGUAGGGGAACCACCGCUCUUUGGUAUUCUCCGUUACCUUGCUCAACAUGAAAUGCUGCAAGAUUCAUUACUUCACGGCCUUGUAGAAUUAGUGUCAUUCUGCACCAGAUCACCAAGUCCGAUUUGGAGGAGAACAUGGCCGAAACAAAUCCAGCUGCUCUACCAGGAUGCUCACAAGUGCCUGGGGCACUUCAGCCUUGAGAGCCAUGCCCUCACCAUGCAGAUCUGCAGGUUGUCAGGUGUGGGGCUGGGGCUUCCAGGCAGGGGGGAGAGGGUGAGUAUGGAGGAGCUAGGGCCUGAGGGUGUAGGGAGCUGAUCAGGAUGUGAGGGCUGAGGCAAAGGGGAGAGAGGCUGGGAAUCCAGGAGUGAGGGCUGGCCACUGAGGAAGAAGUCAGGGAGAGGCUGGAGCUGUGGCCCUGGGAGUGCCGUGGGUCUGGCUAUGCAGGGGAGAGCUGGGGCAGGGAGUGGAGACUUGCCCUGGGUGGGAGCGCAUUGCCCUUGCCCUGGGUAGGAGCACAGGACCUUGAGCUCCUCUUAGUGGAGGGAGGUGGGUGGGAAGUUGGAUCCUGGCAUUUUGGGGAAGGAGAAGGGAUUGGACGCUCCUUUCACCCCACUUAUCUCAGGGGCCUUUUCUUUCCUAGCCAGGGGGGCAGAAAACCCAUGUGAUGUUUGCUGAGCUGACCUGCAGGGAGCCUGAUGGACCCAGGGAAUGGGAACGGGGCUGUGUCGGGUUUGCUGCUCUGGGAAGGAAGCAAGUUAGAGCAGAGCAGGCGUGAGGACCAGGACUUGCAGGUUGUGCCCUGCUCUGGCUCUUCGAAAGGAGUGCUGUCCAGCAUGCCAUAGUGAGGGGCAUGGUUUGGGAGGACUCCUGGGUCCUGUUUCUAGCUGAGGGAAGGAGGGCAGGGGGUGGGAGGAAGGCUCUGUGGCUCAGGACUCGUGGCUUCUUUUUGGGAUCUGUCACUUCCCCAGAAUGAACCCACAAAUGAUCUGUGCAUUGAAUCAAUUGAUCCCUUGGGUGAUGCUGUCAGCACGUACAUGGAGGUGAGUGGAAGCAGUGCGGUGGGAGGUGUCCACUGCCCUGAUCAGAGGAGGCCAGGGUUGGGGGAAUACUGGGCCCAUGGAUCGGAUUGAAGGGUGGAUGGCGAUACUGGGCUGGGGUGGCCUCAUGGGUCCCAUCUGUCAGGCAGAGGAAGGUAGUAAUAGGUGCAUGGGUCAGAGCUAGGCUAGCAUGGGGCUGCAGGGAAGCAGAAGGGUUACUUGGCUGGGGGUGGACCCGUGGGUCCCACGGGAGGGUUUGUAUACUACAAGCAGGGCCCUCCUGCCAGGGUCCCCGUUGGGUCCCAGUCGUGCCCUUCCCUGCCCAGCCCUGUCCUGGCAGUGGCUGAUGGGGAAAACGUGGGGUCUUUCCAUUCUCCUUCAGUAUGGAAAUGACCUCUGCUUUGCCUCCCAGCCCGCUCAUGCUUUGCCUCCUGUCUCUUCACAGCGGUUAUCAAUGUGAGCCAUGAUGCACGACUGAUCACGCAGACCAGCUGCCAGCUCUGGGUGGUGGAGGAGCAGUCCAUCAGCCAGAUCAACGGUGACUUCGACUGCAAACGGGAGGUGCUGGAGGCCUCGGGCCAGGUCAGCAUUAACUGGCCCCGGGAGUGACCUUGCUGUGGGGAGGCUCCUCGAGGACCUGCCCAUCCCCUCUCAGAGACCUGCCUGCACAGCUUCACGUGCACCCACACCCAAAGGCCUCCGUGUAGAGGGGGCAGGGUCACAGGCAUGGUUGUGGGUUGAACUUUGAAGAUGUGGGGUAGGGGCCUAAUGCAAGACAUGUUUAUUUUCAGAGCUGUUCUUCUACACCUGCUGCUUUCCCAGGAGAGAGAGACUUAAUUUAUAUGAAUGGGAGGGAGGGGGUUGUACUGGAAUGGUCUGUUUUAGGCAGGAGUGAGGGCUGUCCUUGUCCCAUUGCUGGGUUCCCUGCCCCCCAGUCUGGAGAAUGACGUGAGCCUUGUUUUGCAUCCACCCAAGAAGAUUAUAUUAAAAUAUAAUAAAGGAAAA
Molecule: RNA transcript, 8991 nt
Organism: Alligator mississippiensis (American alligator)
Lineage: Eukaryota; Metazoa; Chordata; Crocodylia; Alligatoridae
Exons: 5
Source: RefSeq, a predicted model, not a curated record